AGCGAACGCUGGCGGCAGGCUUAACACAUGCAAGUCGAGCGGAUGUAGCAAUACAUCAGCGGCAGACGGGAGAGUAACACGUGGGAACGUACCCUUCAGUUCGGAACAACCAAGGGAAACUUUGGCUAAUACCGAAUACGUCCGUAAGGAGAAAGAUUUAUCGCUGAAGGAUCGGCCCGCGUCUGAUUAGCUAGUUGGUGAGGUAACGGCUCACCAAGGCGACGAUCAGUAGCUGGUCUGAGAGGAUGAUCAGCCUCACUGGGACUGAGACACGGCCCAGACUCCUACGGGUGGCAG
Molecule: ribosomal RNA, 297 nt
Filed under: uncultured Pseudomonadota bacterium
Lineage: Bacteria; Pseudomonadati; Pseudomonadota
Description: uncultured proteobacterium partial 16S ribosomal RNA
Rfam family: Bacterial small subunit ribosomal RNA
Source: RNAcentral